This 992-nucleotide long non-coding RNA is filed under the name Daucus carota (carrot). RNAcentral's name for it is "long non-coding RNA (DCAR_LNC003760)". Lineage: Eukaryota; Viridiplantae; Streptophyta; Magnoliopsida; Apiales; Apiaceae. The record is from RNAcentral.
UUCCGAGUACUGGACACUAAUGCACUGAAUUUAUAGUUAUAGUACAACAACUUUAUCCUAUUUUAUCCUUGCUAGAUUUUAAGUGAGAGAUUAAAAAAAAAGUACCAUUAAAAAGGAAGUCGGAUUUUCCUUUCACAUAACAAAGUCCGUGAAAAAGGGAUGGUAGUAACAAAGUCAAUCAUGAGUAAUUAUAGAGGAGGAAGCACUACGUAGAUGUUUGGUUCAUGGUGAACGGCAAUCUGCAUUGCAGACCUGUGUAUUAGAGUUAGGUUAAGGAGUUAAGGGGUCAAUGGGUCAUGUAAUCUCGUGAACCGGGUAAUUAAUUCCUUGAAUGACCAAUUUCCGUCAACAAUCCAACACCCUUGUAAGUAAUUAAAAAUUAGGGUUUUAUAUCAAACUGCCCACCCAUUUCGUCAAAAAAUCUCACCUGACCCACCCAAAAAAUUUUGGACUCAUGUAAACCACUAUAAACAAAAUAUAUAUCAUCACUAUUUAUAGCUCUUUACUUAAACAUUUAUAAAAAAUCAACCGUUUGUUUUUUUACUACAAAACCACUUCGAGUACUUUGAUAAUAGUCCCUAGUAUUUAUCAAAAUAAUUUGGGAAUUCCUAAAGCAACAUAGCUAGGAUGAUCAUAUAACUAUAUCUGUAACUAUAUAUUUUAUUUAACUACAUGGCUAUAUUGCUUUAGAAAUUCCCAAAUUAUUUUAAUAAAUACCAGAAACUAUUAUGAAAGUACUCGAAGUGGUUUUGUAGUAAAAAAAUAAACGGUUAAUUUUUUAUAAAUAAUUAAGUAAAAAGGUAUGAAUAAUGAAGUGGUUAAAAUGAUAUAUAUUUGGUUUGUAGUGGCUUAAAUGAGUCCGAAAUUUUUUGGGUGGGUCAAGUGAGAUUUUUUGACGAAAUGGGUGGCCAGUUUGAUAUAAAACCCUUAAAAAUUAAGUCCCUAAAAGGUUUACAGGCUUAUUCAAGUUUCAACAAAAUAUAUUUUUUAAC